RNAcentral lists this ribosomal RNA (830 nucleotides) under uncultured bacterium. Its description in RNAcentral is "bacterial SSU rRNA". It matches the Rfam family "Bacterial small subunit ribosomal RNA", at positions 85 to 917 of the family's 1533-position model. The record is from RNAcentral.
CCGAUGGCGACCGGCGCACGGGUGAGUAACGCGUAUCCAACCUGCCCUUCACCACGGGAUAACCCGGCGAAAGUCGGACUAAUACCGUAUGUUGUCCAUUGACGGCAUCCGAUUUGGACGAAAGGCUUGGCGGUGAGGGAUGGGGAUGCGUCCGAUUAGCCAGACGGCGGGGUAACGGCCCACCGUGGCGACGAUCGGUAGGGGUUCUGAGAGGAAGGUCCCACACACUGGAACUGAGACACGGUCCAGACUCCUACGGGAGGCAGCAGUGAGGAAUAUUGGUCAAUGGGCGUAAGCCUGAACCAGCCAAGUAGCGUGCAGGACGACGGCCCUAUGGGUUGUAAACUGCUUUUAUGCGGGGAUAAAGUGGCCCACGUGUGGGUUUUUGCAGGUACCGCAUGAAUAAGGACCGGCUAAUUCCGUGCCAGCAGCCGCGGUAAUACGGAAGGUCCGGGCGUUAUCCGGAUUUAUUGGGUUUAAAGGGAGCGUAGGCCGCGCCUUAAGCGUGUUGUGAAAUCCGGGUGCUCAACAUCCGGCUUGCAGCGCGAACUGGGGCGCUUGAGUGCGCAGAAAGUAGGCGGAAUUCGUGGUGUAGCGGUGAAAUGCUUAGAUAUCACGAGGAACUCCGAUUGCGAAGGCAGCCUACUGUAGCGCUACUGACGCUGAUGCUCGAAAGCGUGGGUAUCGAACAGGAUUAGAUACCCUGGUAGUCCACGCGGUAAACGAUGGAUGCUCGUUGUCGGCCCUUUGGGUCGGUGACCAAGCGAAAGCGUUAAGCAUCCCACCUGGGGAGUACGCCGGCAACGGUGAAACUCAAAGGAAUUGACGGA